This is a long non-coding RNA of Ricinus communis (castor bean), 403 nucleotides long. RefSeq lists it as uncharacterized. The transcript is spliced from 3 exons. NCBI's taxonomy places the organism in Eukaryota, Viridiplantae, Streptophyta, Magnoliopsida, Malpighiales, Euphorbiaceae. The record is from RefSeq and is a predicted model, not a curated record.
CCCACUACUUUAAAAACUAAAGGAACCUCAAAAACCAAUUUCCUUCUAGUUUCAAUAGAAAGUGGAAGUACCCCCUCUUAUGUACCUACUCUAGUAGCACAUGAGAUGAAAUGGAGGACUCUUUAGAGGUUUCCUAUCACUGUGACUUCAGCGACAGGGCACGAGCUACACGGUGACCAGGAAAUUAAUUAAAGAUCAUCAGCAGAUUGUGUUGACUGCCACCAAGGAAGAAGGUUCACUAAAGCGGCUGACGGGCAAUCAGACAAACAAGAUUUUCAAGAAGAAAUUGGUCAGAUAUGAUAAAGCUUAGAUUUGGGAGAAUGACCCUUUCCAAAUUAAAUUUUAUGUUGCAACAACUUCAUAUUGCCUUAUUAUUAUUAUAUAUUCAAAUCCUCAAACAGAG